GCGAACGGGGAGGAGCCCAGAGCCUGAAUCAGCAUGUGUGUUAGUGGAAGCGUCUGGAAAGGCGCGCGAUACAGGGUGACAGCCCCGUACACAAAAGCGCAUGUGUUGUGAGCUCGAUGAGUAGGGCGGGACACGUGGUAUCCUGUCUGAAUAUGGGGGGACCAUCCUCCAAGGCUAAAUACUCCUGACUGACCGAUAGUGAACCAGUACCGUGAGGGAAAGGCGAAAAGAACCCCGGCGAGGGGAGUGAAAAAGAACCUGAAACCGUGUACGUACAAGCAGUGGGAGCACAGGUUUACCUGUGUGACUGCGUACCUUUUGUAUAAUGGGUCAGCGACUUAUAUUCUGUAGCAAGGUUAACCGUAUAGGGGAGCCGGAGGGAAACCGAGUCUUAACCGGGCGUUAAGUUGCAGGGUAUAGACCCGAAACCCGGUGAUCUAGCCAUGGGCAGGUUGAAGGUUGGGUAACACUAACUGGAGGACCGAACCGACUAAUGUUGAAAAAUUAGCGGAUGACCUGUGGCUGGGGGUGAAAGGCCAAUCAAACCGGGAGAUAGCUGGUUCUCCCCGAAAGCUAUUUAGGUAGCGCCUCGUGAAUUCAUCUCCGGGGGUAGAGCACUGUUUCGGCUAGGGGGCCAUCCCGGCUUACCAACCCGAUGCAAACUGCGAAUACCGGAGAAUGUUAUCACGGGAGACACACGGCGGGUGCUAACGUCCGUCGUGAAGAGGGAAACAACCCAGACCGCCAGCUAAGGUCCCAAAGUCAUGGUUAAGUGGGAAACGAUGUGGGAAGGCCCAGACAGCCAGGAUGUUGGCUUAGAAGCAGCCAUCAUUUAAAGAAAGCGUAAUAGCUCACUGGUCGAGUCGGCCUGCGCGGAAGAUGUAACGGGGCUAAACCAUGCACCGAAGCUGCGGCAGCGACACUGUGUGUUGUUGGGUAGGGGAGCGUUCUGUAAGCCUGUGAAGGUGUGUCGUGAGGCAUGCUGGAGGUAUCAGAAGUGCGAAUGCUGACAUAAGUAACGAUAAAGCGGGUGAAAAGCCCGCUCGCCGGAAGACCAAGGGUUCCUGUCCAACGUUAAUCGGGGCAGGGUGAGUCGACCCCUAAGGCGAGGCCGAAAGGCGUAGUCGAUGGGAAACGGGUUAAUAUUCCCGUACUUGGUGUUACUGCGAAGGGGGGACGGAGAAGGCUAUGUUGGCCGGGCGACGGUUGUCCCGGUUUAAGCGUGUAGGUGUGUGUUCCAGGUAAAUCCGGUUCACUUUAACACUGAGGCGUGACGACGAGGCACUACGGUGCUGAAGCAACAAAUGCCCUGCUUCCAGGAAAAGCCUCUAAGCAUCAGGUAACAUCAAAUCGUACCCCAAACCGACACAGGUGGUCAGGUAGAGAAUACCAAGGCGCUUGAGAGAACUCGGGUGAAGGAACUAGGCAAAAUGGUGCCGUAACUUCGGGAGAAGGCACGCUGACACGUAGGUGAAGUGAUUUACUCAUGGAGCUGAAGUCAGUCGAAGAUACCAGCUGGCUGCAACUGUUUAUUAAAAACACAGCACUGUGCAAACACGAAAGUGGACGUAUACGGUGUGACGCCUGCCCGGUGCCGGAAGGUUAAUUGAUGGGGUCAGCGCAAGCGAAGCUCCUGAUCGAAGCCCCGGUAAACGGCGGCCGUAACUAUAACGGUCCUAAGGUAGCGAAAUUCCUUGUCGGGUAAGUUCCGACCUGCACGAAUGGCGUAAUGAUGGCCAGGCUGUCUCCACCCGAGACUCAGUGAAAUUGAACUCGCUGUGAAGAUGCAGUGUACCCGCGGCAAGACGGAAAGACCCCGUGAACCUUUACUAUAGCUUGACACUGAACAUUGAGCCUUGAUGUGUAG
This 1867-nucleotide ribosomal RNA is filed under the name Salmonella enterica subsp. enterica serovar Stanley. RNAcentral describes it as "partial 23S ribosomal RNA". It matches the Rfam family "Bacterial large subunit ribosomal RNA", at positions 253 to 2141 of the family's 2925-position model. Lineage: Bacteria; Pseudomonadati; Pseudomonadota; Gammaproteobacteria; Enterobacterales; Enterobacteriaceae. The record is from RNAcentral.